Molecule: ribosomal RNA, 301 nt
Filed under: uncultured bacterium
Lineage: Bacteria
Description: partial 16S ribosomal RNA
Rfam family: Bacterial small subunit ribosomal RNA
Source: RNAcentral
CAGUCGCCGCGGUAAUACGAAGGGUGCAAGCGUUAAUCGGAUUUACUGGGCGUAAAGCGUGCGUAGGCGGCUUUUUAAGUCGGAUGUGAAAUCCCUGAGCUUAACUUAGGAAUUGCAUUCGAUACUGGGAAGCUAGAGUAUGGGAGAGGAUGGUAGAAUUCCAGGUGUAGCGGUGAAAUGCGUAGAGAUCUGGAGGAAUACCGAUGGCGAAGGCAGCCAUCUGGCCUAAUACUGACGCUGAGGUACGAAAGCAUGGGGAGCAAACAGGAUUAGAUACCCCCGUAGUCCCUGUCUCUUAUAC